RNAcentral lists this long non-coding RNA (455 nucleotides) under Brachypodium distachyon (stiff brome). RNAcentral describes it as "long non-coding RNA (BDIS_LNC001333)". The record is from RNAcentral. Lineage: Eukaryota; Viridiplantae; Streptophyta; Magnoliopsida; Poales; Poaceae.
UUUUAGGCUUGUUACAAGCGGAAACUAAUACGGAUCUCAGGAGAUCCGAAUAAUCUCACCGAGAUGGACACAGAGACAAACCACGAGAGAAUACAGUGGCUGGAUCGAUCGGAGGCGCGACGACGGCGGCUGGGACGAUGGGGAUCCACCGAGGAAGGAUGCAGCCGGCUGCAACAAGGGGAUCCAGCGGCGGCGGCGGGACCCAGCGGCGGAUGCUCGGCAGAGGUCGCAAGGUCCAGCGGCGGAUGUGGCAGGAUCCAGCGGCGGAUGCUCGGCGGAGGUCGCAAGGUCCAGCGGCGGCGGCUGCCCGGCAUUUCUUCUCUCCCAAACACUAAACGCCGGUGUUUUGAUUCACCUGUAACCUGUUGUGCACGUCAAAAUGCACCCGUAAGUAUUCACGGGUGAAAAUUUUUACAUAGUUUCCAAGCGGGGCCUAAGGGGUGGGAGCACCGUAU